RNAcentral lists this ribosomal RNA (462 nucleotides) under uncultured bacterium. RNAcentral's name for it is "partial 16S ribosomal RNA". It matches the Rfam family "Bacterial small subunit ribosomal RNA", at positions 29 to 507 of the family's 1533-position model. The record is from RNAcentral.
AUGAACGCUGACAGAAUGCUUAACACAUGCAAGUCGAUGGGGAAGUGGUGCUUGCACCAUGGCAACCAUGGCGGACGGGUGAGUAACGCGUAAGGGACUUACCUGCAGGACUGGGAUAACAGGGGGAAACUCCUGACAAGACCGGAUAAUGUCAUGGAGCUGCAUGGCUUUAUGAUGAAAGGAGACGCCUGCGGAGGGCCUUGCGUCCUAUUAGCUAGUUGGUGAGGUAAUGGCUCACCAAGGCGAAGAUAGGUAGCCGGCCUGAGCGGGGGGACGGCCACAAGGGGACUGAGAUGCGGCCCUUACUCCUACGGGAGGCAGCAGUGGGGAAUAUUGGACAAUGGGGGCAACCCUGAUCCAGCAAUUCUGUGUGCACGAAGAAGGUUUUCGGAUUGUAAAGUGCUUUCAGCAGGGAAGAAGUAAGUGACGGUACCUGCAGAAGAAGCGACGGCUAAAUACGUG